RNAcentral lists this ribosomal RNA (995 nucleotides) under uncultured bacterium. RNAcentral's name for it is "bacterial SSU rRNA". It matches the Rfam family "Bacterial small subunit ribosomal RNA", at positions 509 to 1504 of the family's 1533-position model. The record is from RNAcentral.
CAGCAGCCGCGGUAAUACGGAGGGUGCAAGCGUUGUUCGGAUUGACUGGGCGUAAAGAGCACGUAGGCGGGUUCGUAAGUCGGAUGUGAAAGCCCCGGGCUUAACCUGGGAACCGCAUUCGAAACUACGAAUCUUGAAUGCUUGAGAGGUUGGUGGAAUUCCAGGUGUAGGAGUGAAAUCCGUAGAUAUCUGGAGGAACAUCGGAGGCGAAGGCGACCAACUGGUGAUGCAUUGACGCUGAGGUGCGAAAGCGUGGGGAGCAAACAGGAUUGGAUACCCUGGUAGUCCACGCCGUAAACGAUGGAUACUAGGUGUUCGGGAAGUUAACCUCCUGAGUACUAAAGCUAACGCCAUAAGUAUCCCGCCUGGGGAGUACGGUCGCAAGGCUAAAACUCAAAGGAAUUGACGGGGGCCCGCACAAGCGGUGGAGUAUGUGGUUUAAUUCGAAGCAACGCGCAGAACCUUACCUACCCUUAACAUCCCGGGGCGCAUACAGAGCUGUAUGUUUCUCUUCGGAGACUCGGUGAUAGGUGCUGCAUGGCUGUCGUCAGCUCGUGUCGUAAGAUGUCUGGUUAAGUCCAAUAACGAGCGCAACCCCUGUCCUUAGUUACCAUCAUUAAGUUGGGGACUCUAGGGAGACUGCCGGUGUUAAACCGGAGGAAGGCGGGGAUGACGUCAAGUCCUCAUGGCCCUUACGGGUAGGGCUACACACGUACUACAAUGGCAGAAACAAACCGUUGCGAGACCGCGAGGUGGAGCUAAUCGGUAAAACACUGUCUCAGUCCGGAUUGAAGUCUGCAACUCGACUUCAUGAAGCUGAAAUCGCUAGUAAUCGCUGAUCAGCAAGCAGCGGUGAAUACGUUCCCGGGCCUUGUACACACCGCCCGUCACACCACGAGAGUGGUCAUAACCAGAAGCAGGUGAGCUAACCUUUUGGAGGCAUCCUACCAAGGUUGUGGUCGCGAUUGGGGUGAAGUCGUAACAAGGUAGCCGUA